Molecule: transfer RNA, 59 nt
Filed under: Gammaproteobacteria bacterium
Lineage: Bacteria; Pseudomonadati; Pseudomonadota; Gammaproteobacteria
Description: tRNA-Ser
Rfam family: tRNA
About the family: Transfer RNA (tRNA) molecules are approximately 80 nucleotides in length.
Source: RNAcentral
GGUAAGGCAACGGGUUUUGAUCCCGUCAUUCCCAGGUUCGAAUCCUGGCGGCCCUGCCA